Molecule: long non-coding RNA, 907 nt
Organism: Diuraphis noxia (Russian wheat aphid)
Lineage: Eukaryota; Metazoa; Arthropoda; Insecta; Hemiptera; Aphididae
Source: RefSeq, a predicted model, not a curated record
AUGAUGAUGCUAUAAAAAAAAUUAAAAGACACACCAUUGAUCUUCAAAAGCCACUCWUACAAAAUAACCCAGGAUUCAGUAGGGUACAAGAUGCUGAGCUAAUGUCGAUGGCCGAUCCAGGUCUUUGUUUGAGCAUGCAUCAGCCAUAUGCAUCUCUCUUGUUACUUAACAUUAAAAGGCCGAACAUGGUUUACUUCACACCACGGAAGACUUUGAAUUGCAUCAACAGCUAAAAAACCCAGUCUAGAGGAAUUAAAACAAAUUGAGACGUUUUAUAAACAUUUAAAAGGAGAUAUUGAAUUUCCAAAACGAUAUUCAACUGGAUGUUUGUUGGGCUGUGUGAAUGUAGUGGAUUGUUUGUCUCAAGAAGAGUACAUUUCAAAAUGUCCUCAAGGAGAAAAUGAAAGUCCUUUUAUAUUUAUAUAUAAAGAUCCAAUCAUGAUGGCAAAUCAUUUUCCAAUUAAAGGACAACACAAAAUUUUUAAAUUACAUGAAACAGGAACAUCCUUUUCACAUGACAUUAUCAUCAGUCCUUUAAGCCUAUCUUCGCAYAUAGUACUUCAAAGACGUGUUUUGAUCAGCUUUAAUUUUGAAAACGCUCUCUCUGGCAAAGCACUUGGUAUUGGUAGUGUUAGAGCUAUGUAAAGUGCAGGAAAUACAUCAUUUAAUCCUGUAUUCCUGUCUUACAGCAUACAUUGUAUAACCUUGAUUUUCAACAUAAAAAUUAUCAUCGUCACUAUCUUGUUCAUUUUUUGUAUCAGAAUAGAGUACAUCUGUAAUGUCCUGUGUUUGUGUAAUUUUUUUGGUAAGGUUACAGAUUUUUCUAAUUCCAUAUAAACACUUGCAAAUUGGAUAUAUUCUCUUUUUAAAUCUGCUGCAGUUAUACAUUUCCCAUAUUAUACUUGUU